Molecule: long non-coding RNA, 552 nt
Organism: Octopus bimaculoides (California two-spot octopus)
Lineage: Eukaryota; Metazoa; Mollusca; Cephalopoda; Octopoda; Octopodidae
Source: RefSeq, a predicted model, not a curated record
AAGGUUGAAAGAAUAUCAGAUGUUGAACCUCGCGCCUCGGUGGCGAAUUAUGUGGACGGAAAUGAGAAGAUGAAGUGGAAGCAUUGUGUAAACACACGCACAUCGGCAACAUUCGGUAAUUUCUUGAAAAUGGGUUCAUAACCCCGAAAUAUUGAAUACAAGUCAUUUGACUGCGGCCAUGCUGGAACAGGAUGAUGAUGAUAUUGAUGAUAUCAGAUACACUAACAAAAGAUUCUCCAACAUAGAUUCGGCUAAACCUCUCAUCCGAAAAAAGCAAAAAAAAAGCUGGACUUAAAAACUAACAAGCAAACAAUGACAACAAAAACAAAGAAACGACGAACAACUUCAACAACAACAACAAACCCCCCACCCCCACCAAAACAACCCCACCUCGACCCUAUCCCACGAAAGCCUUUACGUAAUCCCGUGUAUCAGACGAUAUCGCUGUAUCGGCGGAAUUAGAUGCGAAGCUUGGUAGAUUCUGGAGGCAUAACAACACUGCUCGCACAUGCAAGAUGGACUUCCUGAGCGAAUAACGAAUAAAUUGCCCGC